ACAUCAGUUCUGCAGGGAGAUCUUUGGUAUUAUAUAUAUCGGUUUUCAAAUCACCUCUUAUGAGCUAACUUUUAAGGUGGAAUUAGGCAAGUUCAUAUCAUUUGGUAUCAGAGCCUCACUCUGUAUGGAUCGGUGAACCAUGCACAAAGGUUUCCUGACGUUCUUCAGCAAAGGUCAGGGUGAACGACUCAUGACCCUAGUUGCUUCACGAGAACGUUUAGUCUAAAGGGGUCAGUAAUUAUGCAUCCCAUAUUGGUUCUGCAUAGAGGUCUUGGGUGUUAUAUAUAUGGGUUUGCAAACCUCCCCUUCUGAGCUAGCUUUUAAGCUGAAGUUAGACAGGUUCAUAUCAUUAGUAUCAGAGCCUCACUCUGUAUGAGUCGGUGAGCCAUGUACAAAGG
RNAcentral lists this unclassified non-coding RNA (398 nucleotides) under Hevea brasiliensis (rubber tree). The record is from RNAcentral. Lineage: Eukaryota; Viridiplantae; Streptophyta; Magnoliopsida; Malpighiales; Euphorbiaceae.